AGACCCGAAACCCGGUGAUCUAGCCAUGGGCAGGUUGAAGGUUGGGUAACACUAACUGGAGGACCGAACCGACUAAUGUUGAAAAAUUAGCGGAUGACCUGUGGCUGGGGGUGAAAGGCCAAUCAAACCGGGAGAUAGCUGGUUCUCCCCGAAAGCUAUUUAGGUAGCGCCUCGUGAAUUCAUCUCCGGGGGUAGAGCACUGUUUCGGCUAGGGGGCCAUCCCGGCUUACCAACCCGAUGCAAACUGCGAAUACCGGAGAAUGUUAUCACGGGAGACACACGGCGGGUGCUAACGUCCGUCGUGAAGAGGGAAACAACCCAGACCGCCAGCUAAGGUCCCAAAGUCAUGGUUAAGUGGGAAACGAUGUGGGAAGGCCCAGACAGCCAGGAUGUUGGCUUAGAAGCAGCCAUCAUUUAAAGAAAGCGUAAUAGCUCACUGGUCGAGUCGGCCUGCGCGGAAGAUGUAACGGGGCUAAACCAUGCACCGAAGCUGCGGCAGCGACGCUUAUGCGUUGUUGGGUAGGGGAGCGUUCUGUAAGCCUGUGAAGGUGUGUCGUGAGGCAUGCUGGAGGUAUCAGAAGUGCGAAUGCUGACAUAAGUAACGAUAAAGCGGGUGAAAAGCCCGCUCGCCGGAAGACCAAGGGUUCCUGUCCAACGUUAAUCGGGGCAGGGUGAGUCGACCCCUAAGGCGAGGCCGAAAGGCGUAGUCGAUGGGAAACGGGUUAAUAUUCCCGUACUUGGUGUUACUGCGAAGGGGGGACGGAGAAGGCUAUGUUGGCCGGGCGACGGUUGUCCCGGUUUAAGCGUGUAGGUGUGUGUUCCAGGUAAAUCCGGUUCACUUUAACACUGAGGCGUGACGACGAGGCACUACGGUGCUGAAGCAACAAAUGCCCUGCUUCCAGGAAAAGCCUCUAAGCAUCAGGUAACAUCAAAUCGUACCCCAAACCGACACAGGUGGUCAGGUAGAGAAUACCAAGGCGCUUGAGAGAACUCGGGUGAAGGAACUAGGCAAAAUGGUGCCGUAACUUCGGGAGAAGGCACGCUGACACGUAGGUGAAGUGAUUUACUCAUGGAGCUGAAGUCAGUCGAAGAUACCAGCUGGCUGCAACUGUUUAUUAAAAACACAGCACUGUGCAAACACGAAAGUGGACGUAUACGGUGUGACGCCUGCCCGGUGCCGGAAGGUUAAUUGAUGGGGUCAGCGCAAGCGAAGCUCCUGAUCGAAGCCCCGGUAAACGGCGGCCGUAACUAUAACGGUCCUAAGGUAGCGAAAUUCCUUGUCGGGUAAGUUCCGACCUGCACGAAUGGCGUAAUGAUGGCCAGGCUGUCUCCACCCGAGACUCAGUGAAAUUGAACUCGCUGUGAAGAUGCAGUGUACCCGCGGCAAGACGGAAAGACCCCGUGAACCUUUACUAUAGCUUGACACUGAACAUUGAGCCUUGAUGUGUAGGAUAGGUGGGAGGCUUUGAAGCGUGGACGCCAGUCUGCGUGGAGCCGACCUUGAAAUACCACCCUUUAAUGUUUGAUGUUCUAACGUGGACCCGUAAUCCGGGUUGCGGACAGUGUCUGGUGGGUAGUUUGACUGGGGCGGUCUCCUCCUAAAGAGUAACGGAGGAGCACGAAGGUUGGCUAAUCCUGGUCGGACAUCAGGAGGUUAGUGCAAUGGCAUAAGCCAGCUUGACUGCGAGCGUGACGGCGCGAGCAGGUGCGAAAGCAGGUCAUAGUGAUCCGGUGGUUCUGAAUGGAAGGGCCAUCGCUCAACGGAUAAAAGGUACUCCGGGGAUAACAGGCUGAUACCGCCCAAGAGUUCAUAUCGACGGCGGUGUUUGGCACCUCGAUGUCGGCUCAUCACAUCCUGGGGCUGAAGUAGGUCCCAAGGGUAUGGCUGUUCGCCAUUUAAAGUGGUACGCGAGCUGGGUUUAGAACGUCGUGAGACAGUUCGGUCCCUAUCUGCCGUGGGCGCUGGAGAACUGAGGGGGGCUGCUCCUAGUACGAGAGGACCGGAGUGGACGCAUCACUGGUGUUCGGGUUGUCAUGCCAAUGGCACUGCCCGGUAGCUAAAUGCGGAAGAGAUAAGUGCUGAAAGCAUCUAAGCACGAAACUUGCCCCGA
RNAcentral lists this ribosomal RNA (2111 nucleotides) under Salmonella enterica subsp. enterica serovar Abony. RNAcentral describes it as "partial 23S ribosomal RNA". It matches the Rfam family "Bacterial large subunit ribosomal RNA", at positions 711 to 2802 of the family's 2925-position model. Lineage: Bacteria; Pseudomonadati; Pseudomonadota; Gammaproteobacteria; Enterobacterales; Enterobacteriaceae. The record is from RNAcentral.